AACGAACGUUGGCGGCAGGCUUAACACAUGCAAGUCGAACGAGAUCUUCGGAUCUAGUGGCAGACGGGUGAGGAACACGUGGGAACAUCCCUUUCAGUUCGGAAUAACGUUGGGAAACUAACGCUAAUACCGGAUACGUCCUUCGGGAGAAAGAUUUAUCGCUGAAAGAUUGGCCCGCGUCUGAUUAGCUAGUUGGUGAGGUAACGGCUCACCAAGGCUACGAUCAGUAGCUGAUCUGAGAGGAUGAUCAGCCACAUUGGGACUGAGAAACGGCCCCAACUCCUACGGGAGGCAGCAGUGGGGAAUAUUGGACAAUGGGCGCAAGCCUGAUCCAGCCAUGCCGCGUGAGUGAUGACGGCCUUCGGGUUGUAAAGCUCUUUUGUCCGGGAAGAUAAUGACUGUACCGGAAGAAUAAGCCCCGGCAAACUUCGUGCCAGCCGCCGCCGCGG
Molecule: ribosomal RNA, 449 nt
Filed under: uncultured bacterium
Lineage: Bacteria
Description: partial 16S ribosomal RNA
Rfam family: Bacterial small subunit ribosomal RNA
Source: RNAcentral